GAAGGACCGGCCCUCGGGAAGAGGAGCAGGUGUGGGAGCUGGGGGAAGUGCCGGGGCUCCCCAGAGCAGGCCAUGUGCCUUGCUGGGUGGCCGGACGGCCUGGACCUCCUUCUGCAGGGUCUUCCCUUGCCCAGCCGGGCUCAGCUUCCUGGGCAGAGACGGCGCUCUCUGUAGCUGGAGCUCCACAACAGGCAGCUGGUGAAUGCUCCCAGGAGACGUAGAAGGGGUCCUGAGGUGACCGGGGGCAGCUGAGAGGUAGGCCCCUCGGGUCCCCAGUCUGACUUCCUUCCUGCCAGCUCAGCAGGUGGCCCAGGCCUGCUGUCCCCAGCCUCCUCUCCUCCCCCCUUGCAGCUGAGGCCAGGUCAUCCCCCACCCCCCACCCCAGGGGCACCUGGCCCAGCUCUCCGGUUUGCACCCAGGCCUGUUUAUUGGGAUGCCAGGGCUGCUGAGGGGUGGCAGAGCCGCUCUGGGGGACCCAGGGCCUGCUGCCAUCUUCCUUCCCUUCCACCAGCCCCUCCCCGCCC
Molecule: long non-coding RNA, 524 nt
Filed under: Marmota monax (woodchuck)
Lineage: Eukaryota; Metazoa; Chordata; Mammalia; Rodentia; Sciuridae
Source: RNAcentral